ACCCUGUUCCAAAGUAUACGCUUCUCAGAUCUGUUUUGCCUUUUGUUGUGAUUGUGGUUUGGCCAACCAUGAGCAGCAACAUGAAGGUGGAGUUUAAGAAAGUUGACGAUAAGGGGAGCUUCUCAGUGUGGAAGGUUAGAGUGAAGGAUUUGUUGGUCCAACUUGGGUUGGAUUUGGCCUUGGAGAAAAGGCUGGAGGAUAUAACAUAUCGCAGUGGAGUUCUUUGGAAAAGAGAUGCAAGGGAGAAAGGGAAGGAGCUGAUUCCCUAGGUAUACUAUUGCUAGUUUAGAGGUGGAGGGCAACCUCUUGGUGGUUUCGGAAGGUUUCGUAGUGUGUGGAAGGGCUGAAAUAGCAGCAGUAGCAGUGAAGGUACAGCAGGACACGCAGUAGGGCAUCAUUGCACAAUUGACCUCGGUUUCUAGCUUUGUCUUCUGCAGGUGCAUCAGAUGGGCUUCAUAUUUAGGUGGAUGACUAGCCAGAGGUGCCUCCACAUCUAGAGAUAGAUUUGGCACAUGUUCAGGGUCGAGGAAUGUAAGGGAAGGAGAAAAUUUCAGCACCAGUGGUGGUAUCGCACUGCACAGGUCAAUGCGGGAUGUGUGAUAGCGGAGAAGGAAUGGUUCGAAGGAUAUGGUGUCAUAUGCAGUGAUGGCAGUGACAGGGGAUCUGAAUAUCCAUGAGGGGGCUGGAGACAAGGCCAGAAAAUGAUAGGUGGGUUCAAAGCAUGUCAGGAGAUCUACAGUUUCUCCAGGAGAACCUAAAGCAGUGAUUGUUGUAGCUGUCCAGUAGAAAGGAGCCUAUAGAAAAAAAAUUGGUGCAUAAAAGCAAAGAAAGACCUUCAGUCCAAAGGGAAGGCAAAUGUCUCAGCAGCCUCCAAGGGAGCUCCAAGGGUGAAAUAUUCGGCAUUAGCGAUGAACUUGCACAGGGUGUUGUUAGGGUGCACAGCGAUAGCAGGGUGUUGCAGAUGGACCAUGCAAGGUUUGUCAAGACUUUGGAGCAUCAGGAUGGAGAUUGUAGACACAGGUGUGGUGCUCUCAAGCCUUGAAAGGCCAGGAGUUGAGCUAUGGAGUUAGCUCAAUGGGUCUGGGACCUAUUUGGGUCCUAGGGUAAGGACUUAUUUGGGUCCUAGGGCUAGGAUCGGUUUGAUUUUAGGAUGGAGGUUUGGCUCUCCACGGAUCUUAAGAUCCAGAGAUUUGGGUCUUAAGGGGGCUAAUUCAUAUAUGGGCUGGAUUUGGAUCUAUGGGGAUGAGAUUGGGUCAAGUCAUGAGUGUACAUAAGCUUGAGUGAGCGUAAUUUCAUAUGGGUAAGUUAGG
RNAcentral lists this long non-coding RNA (1310 nucleotides) under Elaeis guineensis (African oil palm). RNAcentral describes it as "long non-coding RNA (EGUI_LNC035003)". The record is from RNAcentral. Lineage: Eukaryota; Viridiplantae; Streptophyta; Magnoliopsida; Arecales; Arecaceae.